This 859-nucleotide ribosomal RNA is filed under the name Colletotrichum acutatum. RNAcentral's name for it is "LSU rRNA". It matches the Rfam family "Eukaryotic large subunit ribosomal RNA", at positions 74 to 964 of the family's 3401-position model. Lineage: Eukaryota; Fungi; Ascomycota; Sordariomycetes; Glomerellales; Glomerellaceae. The record is from RNAcentral.
AUUGCCCCAGUAACGGCGAGUGAAGCGGCAACAGCUCAAAUUUGAAAUCUGGCCCCAGGCCCGAGUUGUAAUUUGCAGAGGAUGCUUUUGGCGCGGUGCCUUCCGAGUUCCCUGGAACGGGACGCCAUAGAGGGUGAGAGCCCCGUACGGUUGGACACCAAGCCUUUGUAAAGCUCCUUCGACGAGUCGAGUAGUUUGGGAAUGCUGCUCUAAAUGGGAGGUACAUUUCUUCUAAAGCUAAAUAUUGGCCAGAGACCGAUAGCGCACAAGUAGAGUGAUCGAAAGAUGAAAAGCACUUUGAAAAGAGGGUUAAACAGCACGUGAAAUUGUUAAAAGGGAAGCGCUUGUGACCAGACUUGCGUCCGGUGAAUCACCCAGCUCUCGCGGCUGGGGCACUUCGCCGGCACAGGCCAGCAUCAGCUUGCCGUCGGGGACAAAAGCUUCAGGAACGUAGCUCCUCUCGGGGAGUGUUAUAGCCUGUUGUAUAAUACCCUUCGGCGGGCUGAGGUACGCGCUCCGCAAGGAUGCUGGCGUAAUGGUCAUCAGCGACCCGUCUUGAAACACGGACCAAGGAGUCAACCUUAUGUGCGAGUGUUUGGGUGUUAAACCCCUACGCGUAAUGAAAGUGAACGCAGGUGAGAGCUUCGGCGCAUCAUCGACCGAUCCUGAUGUUCUCGGAUGGAUUUGAGUAAGAGCAUAUAGGGUUGGACCCGAAAGAAGGUGAACUAUGCGUGUGUAGGGUGAAGCCAGAGGAAACUCUGGUGGAGGCUCGCAGCGGUUCUGACGUGCAAAUCGAUCGUCAAACAUGCGCAUGGGGGCGAAAGACUAAUCGAACCUUCUAGUAGCUGGUUUCCGCGAU